This 237-nucleotide ribosomal RNA is filed under the name Pycnococcus provasolii. Its description in RNAcentral is "partial Bacterial large subunit ribosomal RNA". It matches the Rfam family "Bacterial large subunit ribosomal RNA", at positions 1914 to 2150 of the family's 2925-position model. Lineage: Eukaryota; Viridiplantae; Chlorophyta; Pseudoscourfieldiophyceae; Pseudoscourfieldiales; Pycnococcaceae. The record is from RNAcentral.
GAACCCCCAUUGAAUGGCGGCCUUAUCUAUAAGGGUCCUAAGGUAGCGAAAUACCUUGGCAUUUAAAUGAUGUCGCGCAUGAAUGAUCUAACGAUGCAACAGCUGUCUCAAUGAUUGGCUCAGUGAAACUGGAAUGGCAGUGAAGAUACUGCCUAUCUCUAGAUAGACGAGAAGACCCCAUGCAGCUUUACUGUUACUAGUUAUAGGGUAUAACGGAACAGGUUUUAGAGAAUAAGG